This 498-nucleotide ribosomal RNA is filed under the name uncultured bacterium. RNAcentral describes it as "partial 16S ribosomal RNA". It matches the Rfam family "Bacterial small subunit ribosomal RNA", at positions 29 to 523 of the family's 1533-position model. The record is from RNAcentral.
AUUGAACGCUGGCGGCAUGCCUUACACAUGCAAGUCGAACGGUAACGCGGGGCAACCUGGCGACGAGUGGCGAACGGGUGAGUAAAGCAUCGGAACGUGCCCAGUAGUGGGGGAUAGCCCGGCGAAAGCCGGAUUAAUACCGCAUACGACCUAUGGGUGAAAGGGGGGGAUCGCAAGACCUCUCGCUAUUGGAGCGGCCGAUGUCAGAUUAGGUAGUUGGUGGGGUAAAGGCCUACCAAGCCGACGAUCUGUAGCUGGUCUGAGAGGACGACCAGCCACACUGGGACUGAGACACGGCCCAGACUCCUACGGGAGGCAGCAGUGGGGAAUUUUGGACAAUGGGCGCAAGCCUGAUCCAGCCAUGCCGCGUGCGGGAAGAAGGCCUUCGGGUUGUAAACCGCUUUUGUCAGGGAAGAAAUCCUUUGGGUUAAUACCUCGGGGGGAUGACGGUACCUGAAGAAUAAGCACCGGCUAACUACGUGCCAGCAGCCGCCGCAG